RNAcentral lists this unclassified non-coding RNA (205 nucleotides) under Hevea brasiliensis (rubber tree). Lineage: Eukaryota; Viridiplantae; Streptophyta; Magnoliopsida; Malpighiales; Euphorbiaceae. The record is from RNAcentral.
CUUUCUCAACAGAACGGUGAAAGUUUCUUUUUUAAUUUACUUGUGUGUACAUACGUGGUCUUUUCCAUAAUGAUAUGCGCCAAAUAUUGUCUAAUAACAUUGCCCUAGAGUAAAAUAUAUGUUUUCUCCUUUCACCUCAUAAGUCAAUUGUUAUGGUCCCUGGUUAUUGAUCUCGUUAUGGGACGCUGCAAUAUGAAAUCUGAAG